UCCUUUCUCUCUGAGGCUUCUCUCUCAGCUUCCCAGGAGAAAAAUCUUGGGCAAAGGGAUUUUUCAGAGAAUCUCUGUGUCUCUGUGUCAUUUUCAAAGAGAGAAAUCUUCUAUAUCACUUACAAAAAAGGAUUUUGGACUUGGAAAAAAGAAAGUACUUGAGGUGUCACACCAUCAGCAAGUGCUCAUGGUCUGCAAACAGGCAAGCAAUUUAUUUUUACCUUCUGAGGGCAAGAUGGGGACUGAAAGCAGAAGACAUGGUUAUAAUUGUGUUGGAAGAAGAAAUUUGCCUGCUGGAACCAAAUCCCAGAAAUUAAAGCAAAAGGAAAGACAGUAACCUUGCUAUUUUCUUCAAGAUAGAAGACAUUACUAUUAAAAAAAUAAAUUGAGAGAUUAUUUGAAAUACUUGUUCUGAAAACAAAAUGACCAUAACUUCUUUUAAAAUGUAUUGUUCCAAUAAAUGAUCACAUCAGGAAAAACUAUAUCCAUGUCAGGAUAAUUAUAUCAAAAUGAAUGACAAGACCGCAUUUGAAAAUCCUUUGUUGUUACUGCUAAACUGAAAGUAAUUUUAAAAUGUAGAGUUUUGUACUGCUGACCUCUCUCUUCUCUCAACUUCUCUUGCACUUUUGAAAUAAAAAUACUGUGGAAAACAUCAGUCACAUGAAAAAGUCCAACACUUUUCUGAGAACAGCAUCUGCUGAUUUUAUUUUUUGGUUACUAGACUGCUUACAGCUGGUGAUGACACCAUAUAUCAGCUGUAAAAUUUGCUUUCAUUGGUGUCAAAUGCAAAGCCUUGUUAAUUGAGGCUGGGAUGUACUGGGUAGUUUAUGUGUGCUUAUCUUUUUAUCAAUAUAUUUUUGUAUAAUAGCUCUCAGCACCUGUAUAACUUCAUUAACAUCAACUGAGCCAUGUCUUAUUAAUGCCAGCACAAGUGCAGGUAACAGCAUAUUCUAAAAACACUGUUGCAGUGCCAAACAAAUGUUACUGGCAGUUUUUCUCUUCAUUUUGUUGAUAGCCUUUUCAUCCAAUAGCUCUGAAUUUUUUACCAGCAUCUUAUUAAGUCCUUGUGGUGCCACAAACUGUUUUGCGUAUGUUUUGAUCAAACUUGCUGUACUCUAGUCUACUCUGUUCUACGCCUUGUAUAAUGAAGUGAUUUCUCAAACAGUUGGGCCUGCUACAGCGAUGACCUCUUGUGAUGCCAAUCAUUGUGCAAGCACCUUCUGCUUACACUUAAAAAGAUUUGUGAUUUUUGCAUCUUGGAAGUAGGUUGCCUGUAGGCAAUUUUGUGCAUUUUAAUGCAGUGUCCAGUGACAGCCACUAAAGGCUGAUUGGUUCCUCACAAACAAGAAUUCUCCCUGCAAUCAUUUGGUCUGAAUAAUUCAGGCUCUAGAAGAUCCUCCAAUUACUGCUUUUUACACUAUUAAUGAAUUACUUCUGUGGACCAAGUUUUGAAGACAUCUAUGAUUUUAACACACAUUAGUCUUCUAUGAAAGGCAUAUUUUUAUCAAUAGUAGUAUAUGAAACUGAGUGGCAUUAAUGACUUACAUUUUGAUGAAACUAAGUAUUAGUUUCAUCAAAAAAUCUGACAAGACUUAACAUCUGUGCUUUAAUUCAUGUAAAAAAUCUGCAAAACUUCCUCCAAAAGAAGUAUUUCUGGAGACAAGUGAUUUAAAGCAUGGAACACAUGGCAUUUCGCAAGGACAAUUAAAAACUAUAAAUUAAGGGUGAAUUAUGACUUCUGAA
This is a long non-coding RNA of Passer domesticus (house sparrow), 1743 nucleotides long. RefSeq lists it as uncharacterized. The record is from RefSeq and is a predicted model, not a curated record. NCBI's taxonomy places the organism in Eukaryota, Metazoa, Chordata, Aves, Passeriformes, Passeridae. The transcript is spliced from 4 exons.